GCUGGGCAUGGUGGCUCACGCCUGUAAUCCCAGCUACCUUGGGAGGCUGAGGUAGGUGGGUCAUUUGAGGUCAGGAGUUUGAGACAAGCCUGGCCAACAUAGUGAAAACCUGCUUCUA
Molecule: unclassified non-coding RNA, 118 nt
Organism: Pongo abelii (Sumatran orangutan)
Lineage: Eukaryota; Metazoa; Chordata; Mammalia; Primates; Hominidae
Rfam family: Metazoan signal recognition particle RNA
About the family: The signal recognition particle (SRP) is a universally conserved ribonucleoprotein.
Source: Ensembl